Molecule: ribosomal RNA, 250 nt
Filed under: Cronobacter turicensis 564
Lineage: Bacteria; Pseudomonadati; Pseudomonadota; Gammaproteobacteria; Enterobacterales; Enterobacteriaceae
Description: Large Subunit Ribosomal RNA; lsuRNA; LSU rRNA
Rfam family: Bacterial large subunit ribosomal RNA
Source: RNAcentral
CUUACCAACCCGAUGCAAACUGCGAAUACCGGAGAAUGUUAUCACGGGAGACACACGGCGGGUGCUAACGUCCGUCGUGAAGAGGGAAACAACCCAGACCGCCAGCUAAGGUCCCAAAGUCAUGGUUAAGUGGGAAACGAUGUGGGAAGGCCCAGACAGCCAGGAUGUUGGCUUAGAAGCAGCCAUCAUUUAAAGAAAGCGUAAUAGCUCACUGGUCGAGUCGGCCUGCGCGGAAGAUGUAACGGGGCUA